CGUACACUCCUGCGGGAGGCAGCAGUAGGGAAUCUUCCACAAUGGGUGCAAACCUGAUGGAGCAAUGCCGCGUGAGUGAAGAAGGUCUUCGGAUCGUAAAGCUCUGUUGUUAGAGAAGAACACGUGCUAGGUAACUACUAGCGCCUUGACGGUAUCUAACCAGAAAGUCACGGCUAACUACGUGCCAGCAGCCGCGGUAAUACGUAGGUGACAAGCGUUGUCCGGAUUUAUUGGGCGUAAAGGGAGCGCAGGCGGUCUGUUUAGUCUAAUGUGAAAGCCCACGGCUUAACCGUGGAACGGCAUUGGAAACUGACAGACUUAAAUGUAGAAGAGGAAAAUGGAAUUCCAAGUGUAGCGGUGGAAUGCGUAGAUAUUUGGAGGAACACCAGUGGCGAAGGCGAUUUUCUGGUCUAACAUUGACGCUGAGGCUCGAAAGCGUGGGGAGCGAACAGGAUUAGAAACCCUUGUAGUCCCA
RNAcentral lists this ribosomal RNA (475 nucleotides) under uncultured organism. RNAcentral describes it as "partial 16S ribosomal RNA". It matches the Rfam family "Bacterial small subunit ribosomal RNA", at positions 330 to 797 of the family's 1533-position model. The record is from RNAcentral.